This is a long non-coding RNA of Pseudophryne corroboree (corroboree frog), 482 nucleotides long. RefSeq lists it as uncharacterized. The transcript has 3 exons. The record is from RefSeq and is a predicted model, not a curated record. Lineage: Eukaryota; Metazoa; Chordata; Amphibia; Anura; Myobatrachidae.
CACAUGUGAUUUUUUGUAGUAGCACGGGCACGUGACCACCGCGAUCGGGUUGCACAGGAUUCCCUAGGUUGCUAUGGCCACGACACAGAAGCCUUUUUGGGCAUUGUUUACUGGACGAUGCCAGGGACACAGCAGCAACUACCGGUGCGUACUUGGAUCACAUGACGGCUCACACACGUCACAGGAGCCGGGACGGAAGCAGGCAGCUCACCUGGUCUCCGCUGUACUUCCCGCUGGCGGGACUCCUUCACUAUAAAGGUAACGGAGGGUUCGGCACAGGCGCACAUGAGCGCACGUCGCGGGAGCGUGACAUCACCGACCCUGCGUCCAGCGGUUUCUGUUUCCAUGUGGGUGUCUUCACGGGUCUCUUAUGGUAUAAAGAUUGCCAUCAUGUUAAACAGAAUGUUCCAGACAGCUGUGGAGAAGAAGGAGGGUGGCUUCCAGUUGUGUCCUGCAGUUGAUGCCUCCCUGGCACAUGCACC